This 1289-nucleotide ribosomal RNA is filed under the name Staphylococcus epidermidis. Its description in RNAcentral is "bacterial SSU rRNA". It matches the Rfam family "Bacterial small subunit ribosomal RNA", at positions 1 to 1271 of the family's 1533-position model. The record is from RNAcentral. Lineage: Bacteria; Bacillati; Bacillota; Bacilli; Caryophanales; Staphylococcaceae.
UUUAUGGAGAGUUUGAUCCUGGCUCAGGAUGAACGCUGGCGGCGUGCCUAAUACAUGCAAGUCGAGCGAACAGACGAGGAGCUUGCUCCUCUGACGUUAGCGGCGGACGGGUGAGUAACACGUGGAUAACCUACCUAUAAGACUGGGAUAACUUCGGGAAACCGGAGCUAAUACCGGAUAAUAUAUUGAACCGCAUGGUUCAAUAGUGAAAGACGGUUUUGCUGUCACUUAUAGAUGGAUCCGCGCCGCAUUAGCUAGUUGGUAAGGUAACGGCUUACCAAGGCAACGAUGCGUAGCCGACCUGAGAGGGUGAUCGGCCACACUGGAACUGAGACACGGUCCAGACUCCUACGGGAGGCAGCAGUAGGGAAUCUUCCGCAAUGGGCGAAAGCCUGACGGAGCAACGCCGCGUGAGUGAUGAAGGUCUUCGGAUCGUAAAACUCUGUUAUUAGGGAAGAACAAAUGUGUAAGUAACUAUGCACGUCUUGACGGUACCUAAUCAGAAAGCCACGGCUAACUACGUGCCAGCAGCCGCGGUAAUACGUAGGUGGCAAGCGUUAUCCGGAAUUAUUGGGCGUAAAGCGCGCGUAGGCGGUUUUUUAAGUCUGAUGUGAAAGCCCACGGCUCAACCGUGGAGGGUCAUUGGAAACUGGAAAACUUGAGUGCAGAAGAGGAAAGUGGAAUUCCAUGUGUAGCGGUGAAAUGCGCAGAGAUAUGGAGGAACACCAGUGGCGAAGGCGACUUUCUGGUCUGUAACUGACGCUGAUGUGCGAAAGCGUGGGGAUCAAACAGGAUUAGAUACCCUGGUAGUCCACGCCGUAAACGAUGAGUGCUAAGUGUUAGGGGGUUUCCGCCCCUUAGUGCUGCAGCUAACGCAUUAAGCACUCCGCCUGGGGAGUACGACCGCAAGGUUGAAACUCAAAGGAAUUGACGGGGACCCGCACAAGCGGUGGAGCAUGUGGUUUAAUUCGAAGCAACGCGAAGAACCUUACCAAAUCUUGACAUCCUCUGACCCCUCUAGAGAUAGAGUUUUCCCCUUCGGGGGACAGAGUGACAGGUGGUGCAUGGUUGUCGUCAGCUCGUGUCGUGAGAUGUUGGGUUAAGUCCCGCAACGAGCGCAACCCUUAAGCUUAGUUGCCAUCAUUAAGUUGGGCACUCUAAGUUGACUGCCGGUGACAAACCGGAGGAAGGUGGGGAUGACGUCAAAUCAUCAUGCCCCUUAUGAUUUGGGCUACACACGUGCUACAAUGGACAAUACAAAGGGCAGCGAAACCGCGAGGUCAAGAAAC